AUCUAACUGACGAGUCCCAGGUAGGACGAAACGCGUAUUGUAGAU
This 45-nucleotide non-coding RNA is filed under the name Schistosoma mattheei. Lineage: Eukaryota; Metazoa; Platyhelminthes; Trematoda; Strigeidida; Schistosomatidae. The record is from RNAcentral.